RNAcentral lists this ribosomal RNA (440 nucleotides) under uncultured bacterium. RNAcentral's name for it is "partial 16S ribosomal RNA". It matches the Rfam family "Bacterial small subunit ribosomal RNA", at positions 338 to 795 of the family's 1533-position model. The record is from RNAcentral.
CCUACGGGAGGCUGCAGUGGGGAAUAUUGCACAAUGGGGGAAACCCUGAUGCAGCGACGCCGCGUGAGCGAUGAAGUAUUUCGGUAUGUAAAGCUCUAUCAGCAGGGAAGAAGAUGACGGUACCUGACUAAGAAGCCCCGGCUAACUACGUGCCAGCAGCCGCGGUAAUACGUAGGGGGCAAGCGUUAUCCGGAUUUACUGGGUGUAAAGGGCGUGCAGCCGGGAAGACAAGUCAGAUGUGAAAUCCCGCGGCUCAACCGCGGAACUGCAUUUGAAACUGUUUUUCUUGAGUACCGGAGAGGGAAUCGGAAUUCCGUGUGUAGCGGUGAAAUGCGUAGAUAUAAGGAAGAACACCAGUGGCGAAGGCGGAUGACUGGACGGCAACUGACGGUGAGGCGCGAAAGCGUGGGGAGCAAACAGGAUUAGAUACCCUUGUAGUC